UGGGGAAUAUUGCGCAAUGGCCGAAAGGCUGACGCAGCGACGCCGCGUGGGGGAUGAAGCAUUUCGGUGUGUAAACCCCUGUUGCCCGGGACGAGCAAGCAGAUUUUUCUGCUCUGACGGUACCGGGUGAGGAAGCACCGGCUAACUCCGUGCCAGCAGCCGCGGUAAUACGGAGGGUGCGAGCGUUGUCCGGAAUCACUGGGCGUAAAGGGCGCGUAGGCGGUCUGCUAAGCGUGCGGUGAAAGCCCGGGGCUCAACCCCGGGUCUGCCGUGCGAACUGGUGGACUAGAGCACUGUAGAGGCAGGUGGAAUUCCGGGUGUAGCGGUGGAAUGCGUAGAGAUCCGGAAGAACACCGGUGGCGAAGGCGGCCUGCUGGGCAGUAGCUGACGCUGAGGCGCGAAAGCGUGGGGAGCAAACA
RNAcentral lists this ribosomal RNA (419 nucleotides) under uncultured bacterium. RNAcentral describes it as "bacterial SSU rRNA". It matches the Rfam family "Bacterial small subunit ribosomal RNA", at positions 355 to 774 of the family's 1533-position model. The record is from RNAcentral.